Molecule: small nucleolar RNA, 133 nt
Organism: Suricata suricatta (meerkat)
Lineage: Eukaryota; Metazoa; Chordata; Mammalia; Carnivora; Herpestidae
Gene: SNORA70
Rfam family: Small nucleolar RNA SNORA70
About the family: snoRNA U70 seems to be exclusive to mammals and is a member of the H/ACA class of snoRNA which contain H (ANANNA) and ACA box motifs.
Source: Ensembl
CUGCAGCCAAAUAAAUAGGCUGUGCUCUUUCCCUAUGGGGGCUCAGUGUGCAACGGCUGCAAAGAUAGCCUCCUGGGUAGUGUAUGCAGCCUGUUGAUUGUAUGGGUUGCCCUAAGGGACCCUGGAGAGAGCC